This 254-nucleotide ribosomal RNA is filed under the name uncultured bacterium. RNAcentral describes it as "partial 16S ribosomal RNA". It matches the Rfam family "Bacterial small subunit ribosomal RNA", at positions 524 to 776 of the family's 1533-position model. The record is from RNAcentral.
UACGUAGGUGGCAAGCGUUUGUCCGGAUUUAUUGGGUUUAAAGGAUGCGUAGGCGGCCUUGUAAGUCAGUGGUGAAAUACUCCAGCUUAACUGGAGGGGUGCCAAUGAUACUGCAGGGCUUGAGUACAGAUGAGGUAGGCGGAAUUGACGGUGUAGCGGUGAAAUGCAUAGAUAUCGUCAAGAACACCGAUAGCGAAGGCAGCUUACUGGGCUGUAACUGACGCUGAGGCACGAAAGUGUGGGGAUCAAACAGG